CUAACUGCUGGACGGAUUUCAAGAUUGAACAGCACAGCCUAAUCCAGGUUUAAUUGGGUAUUCCAGCAUUAAAAUGCUAACCUCAGCGAGAUCCCACUGGUGCGGCUGUUCUGAUGAUGUCGAGGUCCUGUUCCUGUCUCAACACUCUGGGUGAUUCCAAUUUAGGCUCUUCUAUGAAGAACACGUCCUACCACCCAUCCAGCAUGUGUUUUCUCGAUGGCCCUGAAAGAUAUGGAUCCACCCUGCAUGUGAGACCCAGACACCGCUGUGAAGAUGGCGGCACACACAACGAAGACUUGGAGUCUGGCCAUUACUGCCCUUCUGUUCCCAUCUGCAGCAAACGGCGCACAGCGCUGACUUUAUAUACCGCAACGACGUGCAACCUUGGCGUUAUACAGGAAAUCUCCUCUAUACGUUAGCAGGACAAUCCUGAACUAUCCAUUAUCUUGAAGAUUAUUUAUGUGUUCCAUAUAUACUUCACACGGAGGGAAGAGAUUGAGGAAGUUGUAAGAAUCUACCAGUUAGAUAAAUAAUUUUUCAGCACACAAAUCAUUAUAAAAUCACAACUGUUUGGAAAAGAAGCCGACUGUGACCCUCUGGUAGACCCGCACCUAGGUGUAUAUAUAUAUCUUACAGUGGCCACUGCAAGUGAAAUGUAGCAUUACAUGUCCACCACCAGAAUGAAUGGCCUUCCAUGUAUGAAUGGUGGGACACAG
This is a long non-coding RNA of Bufo gargarizans (Asiatic toad), 716 nucleotides long. RefSeq lists it as uncharacterized. The transcript has 3 exons. NCBI's taxonomy places the organism in Eukaryota, Metazoa, Chordata, Amphibia, Anura, Bufonidae. The record is from RefSeq and is a predicted model, not a curated record.